UCCUCCUUAGCUCAGUUGGUUAGAGCAUCUGACUGUUAAUCAGAGGGUCGCUGGUUCGAGCCCAGCAGGAGGAGCCC
Molecule: transfer RNA, 77 nt
Filed under: Chryseobacterium daecheongense
Lineage: Bacteria; Pseudomonadati; Bacteroidota; Flavobacteriia; Flavobacteriales; Weeksellaceae
Also listed under: 1 other name
Description: tRNA-Asn
Rfam family: tRNA
About the family: Transfer RNA (tRNA) molecules are approximately 80 nucleotides in length. Their secondary structure includes four short double-helical elements and three loops (D, anti-codon, and T loops).
Source: RNAcentral